RNAcentral lists this transfer RNA (73 nucleotides) under Chitinophagales bacterium. Its description in RNAcentral is "tRNA-Gln". It matches the Rfam family "tRNA". From Rfam's summary of the family: Transfer RNA (tRNA) molecules are approximately 80 nucleotides in length. Their secondary structure includes four short double-helical elements and three loops (D, anti-codon, and T loops). The record is from RNAcentral. Lineage: Bacteria; Pseudomonadati; Bacteroidota; Chitinophagia; Chitinophagales.
UGUCUUGUAAUGCAAUUGGUUAGCAUACUAGAUUUUGACUCUAGAAAUAUUGGUUCGAAUCCAGUCAAGAUAA